This 407-nucleotide long non-coding RNA is filed under the name Trifolium pratense (red clover). RNAcentral's name for it is "long non-coding RNA (TPRA_LNC010267)". The record is from RNAcentral. Lineage: Eukaryota; Viridiplantae; Streptophyta; Magnoliopsida; Fabales; Fabaceae.
AAUCAAGCAUUUCCUCAAGAUCAACAUUUUGAAGAUCACCUUGAAUCUUUUGAAGAUACUCUUAUCUUGGCCAUGAAGAUGACUCAAAGCAAUUUUGAGGUGAUGAAGGCAAACCAAGAGGUGUCAAGCGAACGUCAUGAAGCCUCCAUCAAACAUCUCGAAAACCAAAUGGGUCAACUAGUAAGACAAGUCUCUUCUCUACAAACUCAAAGUGGUUUUUGUGGAAACACCACGGAUCCUCGUAAUGAAAGUUGUGAUUCCAUUAAUUUGAGAAGUAGAGAAGUUUCAUCACAAAAAGUAGUGGAGAAUCCUAAGAAUGAUGAGAGUAAAAAUGGUGUAGUUGAAAAGAUGAAGGAUGGUGUAGUUGAAAAUAGAAGAGAAAUUAAGAAAGAAGAAAAAAGUAAGGA